Long non-coding RNA from Paramormyrops kingsleyae, 282 nucleotides. RefSeq lists it as uncharacterized. Lineage: Eukaryota; Metazoa; Chordata; Actinopteri; Osteoglossiformes; Mormyridae. The record is from RefSeq and is a predicted model, not a curated record.
UGCCGUACAUUCAUCCCUGCUGGCUUUUCAUUUUGCCGUUUUAUGAAGCUCCUGCCUUCUUUGCCUUUGUCUUUUUAAUCGUGCGCGCGCACGCACACACCACGCACGCGCGGGCGCUGGAGAAGCAGCACAGCGGUAGAGCGGCAGUGAGAUAUGGAGUGAAGCAAUGACUGGGCUUUGGACUGGGACUGGUCCUCGGCCAGUACUGGUAGACUGUACUGCCAUCACCUGACCACUAGAGGAUAAAGCAAGAACGAAGAGGGGCUGUGCAUGUUCCUGAAG